RNAcentral lists this ribosomal RNA (1325 nucleotides) under metagenome. RNAcentral describes it as "bacterial LSU rRNA". It matches the Rfam family "Bacterial large subunit ribosomal RNA", at positions 1561 to 2925 of the family's 2925-position model. The record is from RNAcentral.
AGUGGAUGGGGAGCAACCUAGUUGUGCGUGUGUAAAGGUAGUGCCAAGAAAAGCGAUGAUCAUGUUGAAAAUCAAUUCCCGGUACCCGAAACCGACACAGGUGGGCAAGUAGAGAAUACUAAGGGGCGCGAGGUAACUCUCCCCAAGGAACUCGGCAAAAUGACCCCGUAACUUAGGGAGAAGGGGUGCCACCGAGAGGUGGUCGCAGUGAAGAGGCCCAGGCGACUGUUUAGCAAAAACAUAGGUCUCUGCAAACUCGAAAGAGGAGGUAUAGGGGCUGACGCCUGCCCAGUGCCGGAAGGUUAAAGAAGUUGGUCAGUUUUAGGAUGAAGCUAGCGACUGAAGCCCCGGUGAACGGCGGCCGUAACUAUAACGGUCCUAAGGUAGCGAAAUUCCUUGUCGGGUAAGUUCCGACCCGCACGAAAGGCGUAACGAUCUGGGCGCUGUCUCGGAGAGAGGCUCGGCGAAAUAGGAUUGUCUGUGAAGAUACGGACUACCUGCAUUUGGACAGAAAGACCCUAUGAAGCUUUACUAUAGCUUGGAAUUGUGUUCGGGCUUCCUGUGCGCAGGAUAGGUGGGAGGCGUAGAAGGUAUUCUUGUGGGGAUACUGGAGCCAACGGUGAGAUACCACUCUCAGGAGGCUAGAAUUCUAACUUAAUUAAGGACAGUUUCAGGUGGGUAGUUUGACUGGGGCGGUCGCCUCCAAAAAGGUAACGGAGGCGUACAAAGGUUCCCUCAGACUGGUUGGAAAUCAGUCGAAGAGUGCAAAGGCAGAAGGGAGCUUGACUGCGAGAAGUACAGUUCGAGCAGGGUGGAAACACGGUCUUAGUGAUCCGACGGUGCUGUGUGGAAGGGCCGUCGUUCAACGGAUAAAAGUUACUCUAGGAUAACAGGCUGAUCUCCCCCAAGAGUUCACAUCGACGGGGAGGUUUGGCACCUCGAUGUCGGCUCAUCGCAACCUGGGGCGGAAGUACGUCCCAAGGGUUGGGCUGUUCGCCCAUUAAAGCGGUACGUGAGCUGGGUUCAGAACGUCGUGAGACAGUUCGGUCCAUAUCCGAUGUAGGCGUGAGAAUAUUGAGAGGAGCCUUCCUUAGUACGAGAGGACCGGGAAGGACGCACCGCUGGUGUACCUGUUAUGAUGCCAAUUGUAAACGCAGGGUAGCCAAGUGCGGAGAGGAUAACCGCUGAAAGCAUCUAAGUGGGAAGCCCACCUCAAGAUGAGUAUUCUGGUGUAAGGUCACGGGAAGACGACCCGUAAAUAGGCACGAGGUGGAAGUGCAGAGAUGUAUGAAGCCGAAGUGUACUAAUAGACCGUCGGCUUGACC